UACGGAGGGUGCAAGCGUUAAUCGGAAUCACUGGGCGUAAAGCGCUCGUAGGCGGUUUGGUCAGUCAGACGUGAAAGCCCGCAGCUCAACUGCGGAACUGCGUUUGAUACUGCCAGACUUGAGUGUCGGAGAGGGUGGCGGAAUUCCGGGUGUAGGAGUGAAAUCCGUAGAUAUCCGGAGGAACACCAGUGGCGAAGGCGGCCACCUGGACGACAACUGACGCUGAGGAGCGAAAGCGUGGGUAGCAAACAGGAUUAGAUACCCUUGUAGU
RNAcentral lists this ribosomal RNA (271 nucleotides) under uncultured bacterium. Its description in RNAcentral is "partial 16S ribosomal RNA". It matches the Rfam family "Bacterial small subunit ribosomal RNA", at positions 524 to 794 of the family's 1533-position model. The record is from RNAcentral.